Molecule: unclassified non-coding RNA, 222 nt
Filed under: Ambisporaceae sp.
Lineage: Eukaryota; Fungi; Glomeromycota; Glomeromycetes; Archaeosporales; Ambisporaceae
Description: partial contains 5.8S ribosomal RNA and internal transcribed spacer 2
Rfam family: 5.8S ribosomal RNA (bases 1-71)
Source: RNAcentral
GUGAAUCAUCAAAUUUUUGAACGCAUAUUGCACUCUCUGGUAUUCCGGAGAGUAUGCCUGUUUGAGAGUAAUUAAAAAGAAUAUUUAACCUAUUUUUUUUGGUCAAAGGACAUGAGGUCUCCGCGUUUAUAGCGGUAGCUUGAAAUAAAUGUUCAAGUCCCAUUAUAGUCGAGACGCGUGAUAAUAUAUUUUCGCGAAAACUUCAUUAUGUGACUAUCAUGU